This 70-nucleotide transfer RNA is filed under the name Neocucumis proteus. RNAcentral describes it as "tRNA-Thr". It matches the Rfam family "tRNA". Rfam says of the family: Transfer RNA (tRNA) molecules are approximately 80 nucleotides in length. Their secondary structure includes four short double-helical elements and three loops (D, anti-codon, and T loops). Lineage: Eukaryota; Metazoa; Echinodermata; Holothuroidea; Dendrochirotida; Cucumariidae. The record is from RNAcentral.
GUUAUAAAAGUUUAGGAAAAACAACUAGUCUUGUAAACUAGAAAAGAAAGUUUAACUCUUUCUUAUAACU